This 873-nucleotide long non-coding RNA is filed under the name Marmota monax (woodchuck). The record is from RNAcentral. Lineage: Eukaryota; Metazoa; Chordata; Mammalia; Rodentia; Sciuridae.
AAAAAACUCAGUUUUAUAAUUGAUAUGUAUAUACACUGAAUUCAUAAAAUUUUCUUUUGAUAUUUUAACAUAAAUUUGCACCAGCUGCUUACAUGAUUUGUGAACUUUUAUUUUAUUUCAGUUAGUAUUUGUAAGUAUUCCAUAGCCAGCCCAGGGGGCAAGAAUAUUACCUGGCAAUUAUACUAACCGUAGUUGUCUCUGAGCAAGUGUGAUCUCCAGGCCAGCAGUAUUAGCAUAAUUUGGGAACUUCUAAGAUACAUAUUUUAAACCUUCAGCAAGACAUACUGCAUAAUCAGAAAUGCUGUUGUUCAGUGAUCUAUUUUAUGAAAUCUUACAGGUGCUUCCAAUGUCUACCAAUGUGUUCUCAUUGUUUUUGCUAAACAGAAGGAUUGAAUAUACAUGUAAAAUUAUUCAGAACAUGGAAAUUCAAUCACCUCAAGUUACUUAAUUGGAUUUUUUAACCUUCCCUGGGUAUGCCUAAAAAAGUAUUUUUUAGAAACUAAUUAUUCAUGAUCCAUUUAAAAAUAAGUGAAUUUAUAAAUUUGUAAAUAUAUCAGUUGAAUGUAAUAGCACUUUAAAAAAUUAACAAGUUUGUACUUAGAUAUGAAUUCCCUUAUUGAAAUACAUAAUGAUUUCCCAUCAGUAGUACUUCUAAAAAUUGUUGUAAUCUGUGUUUAAGAGAUGUUAUAGCUUUUUUCAUAGACCUGGCAUAGAGUACUGAACAUGAAGAGAGAUUCAGACUUGAUGUUACUUUACCCUAAUAAUAUCAAAUUCCUCUUAUUCUAGGAAAUCAUUAUAUAUAUGGUAAUUGUAACUUAGUUAUAAACAUAUUUCUCAGCCCUACAGAUGAAAUUCUAGCUUUCUUAAAUCUUU